Myiozetetes cayanensis is the source of this 2924-nucleotide long non-coding RNA. RefSeq lists it as uncharacterized. The transcript is spliced from 2 exons. The record is from RefSeq and is a predicted model, not a curated record. NCBI's taxonomy places the organism in Eukaryota, Metazoa, Chordata, Aves, Passeriformes, Tyrannidae.
AGGAGCAUUAGAAAAUAUGUGCUUGUGUAACAAGAUUCACAGAAGUAUGGAGUAGUAGUGCUACACAGACAAUAUCAGAGAUCCAUGCAUAAUUCUACUUAAACUGACAUAAGACUCUUCCCUUGAUGUUUUUUGGUGGCUGUAGAAGGCAAAGAACUGUCUAAGACUCUGGAAGUCAGCAGUGUUGCUGAAGGAUUUGAUCUGCGGAAAUCUUAGUGUCACAGAAAUUAUCUUUUUCCACUAAGACAUUAGCAGAUAACCUACCUUUUUUUUUUUUUUUUUGUCUAAAAGGUAUAAUAGCAAUGUCUGGUAAUUCUAACAAAAACGCUUGUAGCUAAACCAUAGCUAAGAUUAUGUUAAAAGGCUUCAACUUUUUAUUGAAAUUCCUUAAAAUUAAAAAAAAAAUAGCAUGAAACUAGAGUUUUAUUUCUCUUUUAAGUACUUCUUCAUUAUGCAUUCCACCGAAUAAGCUUCACAAUGAGUUUUUUCAAUUAGAAGAUGUUUUACUUUAAAAAAAUACAUGUGUAGGCUCCUUUGAUAUUUAGCCAUUGUUGAUGUAAAGGGAAGCAUGUGCUUCUGCAUGCAAUCAACCUUCAUUUGACUGAGCACUUUUCAGAACUCCAGCCAUCCUAGGGUUAUUUUGGCACACUUUCCCUCACUUGUCUUCAGGUUGUGAAGGUCACACCACAGCUGUUAUUGCCUACAUGAUCUGUGCCAUUGAAGCCUUACAUUGUAAGUUAGGGAGUCUUGAAUUCCAUAGAUCAGAAGGUGGCCAAGUGUUAAUUUUUUUUUUCUUAAUCCAGAUGCCUAAACACAUUCAUACACUGGCUGAGAGAGGUAAAUAGUACCUCCUCAAAUGGCAAAAAAAUCCAAGAGAAUGAAUUGCAAUGGGGCAACACUCCUCCCAGCCACCAGUUUGAACUUGGUUUAGAUGGUGAAUUAUUAGGUGUUCUAUUCCUACAUGUUCCUUGGGAAUACCUUGUUUUUCUGAUCAUGAGAUGUAAAGGAGUACAAGUUUUGGGCGUCAAGGAUUCUGUCUUAGGUUCCAUGGCAAUACCUGUGGGAGGAAAGUAAUUUUCCUGGCUUCAAGGUUCAGUUUAUUUUCAUCAGAUUCCUCUUUGGCAGACAGUUUCUUCUUUUAUGGUUCUAUAGUUUACUCCUAUAUCACUUAAAAAAAAAGGGAUUUUUCAAUUCUUUAAUUCUAGUCCACAAAUGGAAAGAAGAGUUGUAGGACAGCUUGACUUAAGGAAGCUUGUCUGCUUAAAACCUUAAACUUACAUUCAACUUAUAUCAUUAGCCACUGUAAUUCUAUCUUUUUUAACACUGAAGCUUCUUUAGUUGUCACAACCUUCAUGUCUUCAUAUUUACUUAGCAUAGAAAAUGCUUGCAGUUUGUGGCAGUGCCAAGCCCUCAUCACCAUAAUGCUUGCCCUGUGGUAUGUUGGCAGCCCUCUUCUCUAACGCCAAUUCCUAUUUACCUUGUUUCUCCUGCUAUAUUUCUGGAUCAUACUUUCUUAAUUUUCUUCACAAUGACCUUUAUUUUAUGUGGUCAAAAAUUAUGUGAAAAAUGACGAAAUGGCUUUCUGGGUAAUGAUUGCAGUCAUGGUAUUUUCUUCCCAUGUUUUCAAAAAGUAGGAUGACCAGUCUCUGCAGAACUUCUUGGUGCUAUAGGAAAAAAAAUGCACAGUAUAUAGUACUUUAGGAAGUGUGAGCAUAGAGUGGUGCACAGACUAUUGGAAAGUAAUUUAGUGUUUCAGAAAUAAAACCUAAGCUUCCGCCUUUUAGGAAAUCAUCAGCCAUUUGGUGACAGGCUAAGGCCAUAAAACAAUGCUACCUUAUGUCCUGUAGGGACUGUGAGCCUCCUCUUAGUACUACUUGUAGUAGUUUUCUUAGACAAAGACAGCGGAGGAGCACACAGGGAAGAGCCUAAAUGAUUUUUUUCAUGAGCAAAAGUUAUGUGGAAAUUUUCCAUAGUUCUUCUUGCCAUGCAGAUGAACACAGCUGCAUGAUAAAGCAGAGCUGUCCCUGACAAAAAGAGUGACCAUGACCAUAGUUCAUAAAUUCUUUCUGCGUUAGCAGUGAGGCCAUGGCCAUCCUCUUCUCCUCUCUCCUGUGUAUACUCUGUGUGACGUAGAGUUAAUCAGUCUUUUUCUACUCAGUGAAUGGGAUGCUCCUGUGGUGCAUCAAACUUGCCAUGCUGAAGGCAUGCAACAAAAUUCUGCCAUGUAUUAGGAAUGCAACUUGUCUUGCCACAGAAAGAAAUGAUGCAGCCAACCUUCCCAGAAAGGUAUGGCAGCACUAAUCUAAUUCACAUGAACUACAAUAAGCAGAGAUCAAAAUAUUUGUAUCCUGAUGACUCAAAUCAGAUGUUGAGACAGUUCCCUCACAUGAAAGCAAUGAAAAUGUAUAGUUCCUCUACUAUAGUGUCAAUUGAAACAAAGAGAAAACACAGAGAGAAGCUUAUGACAAUUAUAAUAUUUAUGUCCAAUGAAAAUGGAGAAAAUGAUGCAAUAUUCAGUUUAAGUAGUACAAUGUCACGUGUAAAAUAAAAACAACUGUUUUGGAAAAAAUUAUGUUGAUUCUACUAUUGUUGAAGAGUAGACAUUGAAAGGAAGAAGAGAAAAGAAGGAAAAGUACAGAUCAAUUAUAGAAAUGGACCAGUUUCCCAAACAAAGGGGCCAUACAGAGAUUCAUAGGCUUGUUAACAUCUCCCAGUAAAUUAAUCCCUAAUUUGGCUGAAUUAAGCCUACUUCUCUUUCCACUUUUACUGGAAAGAAUAAUUGUAAUUGGGAUCUUUUGGAGCAGAAACUGGGUGGCUUGCUGAACAUCCAUCUACUCUGAGGCUUGUUCUUUCAGUUUUCAUCCUAAUAAGUUGAUUUUUCUGUCAGUAAUUCACAUUUACAUUAAAAAAUACUGAAGAUUUUA